GGCUCGUCGCAUCCUGGGGCUGGAGCAGGUCCCAAGGGUUCGGCUGUUCGCCGAUUAAAGCGGCACGCGAGCUGGGUUCAGAACGUCGUGAGACAGUUUGGUCUCUAUCCUCUGCGCUCGUUGGAAUCCUGAGGAGGCCUGCCCAUAGUACGAGAGGACCUGGGUGGACGGACCUCUGGUAUGCCGGUUGUCGCGCCAGCGGCAUGGCCGGUUGGCUACGUUCGGGAGGGAUAACCGCUGAAAGCAUCUAAGCGGGAAGCCUGCUCCAAGAUUAGGAUUCCUUGGCACUUCGGUGCCUGUAGCCCGCAUGUUGAACACGUGUUCGAUAGGCCGGAGGUGGAAGCCCCGCGAGGGGUGGAGCCGACCGGUACUAACGGGCGAACGCGGCA
Molecule: ribosomal RNA, 389 nt
Filed under: Collinsella aerofaciens
Lineage: Bacteria; Bacillati; Actinomycetota; Coriobacteriia; Coriobacteriales; Coriobacteriaceae
Description: partial 23S ribosomal RNA
Rfam family: Bacterial large subunit ribosomal RNA
Source: RNAcentral